CAGCUAUUAUGUUUUGAGGGCCCCCUCGUUAUUAUAUAGAGCUCUAUUAUUUCAAUAGUCACUCUGUUGUGUUGUGUUGGUGUUGGAGACUAUGGUGCCUGGAAUAGAGUGACUGAACUGAAAAUGGACCACAAAAAACGUUAAAACUGCGAAAUCAAGUGUCUAAGUCUACAAAAUAUCUUUAAGACAAGCUAUCUACUCAAGUCCCCAAGUCAAGUAUCUCCAGCCACGCGAAGAAACAACAUCCUCCUGCUUAAGGACGAGGACACUGGAGGAACAUGCAAGGACUCAUACUGGCACUCCUCACCUGGAUAGGAGGCUGGAAUGGCAGUUGUAUUUUACUGAGCAUUACAAUUCUGUAGUUACUGAGCAAUUAGCAUGCCAUAAUGAUGUGUGGUAACCUCUGACCCCAAUCACCUCUUGUCACAAUACAUGUUGUGAGCCGGCCGGAGACCACUAACGGAACUCUAAUAGAGGAAGCGUCCAGUCUAUACAACGCACUGCUACUACUCAAGUACAAGUCUGCACGAUAUGGAUCAUCUCUCUACGUACUGGCAGAAUUAACAAACUUCCCCCUCCUUAAAGACGAACUACUGUUGGAAUUCCAAGCAUGCAAUGCAGAGCUGAUUAAUUUUAACUCGAACAAACAAACUAUUAGACAUGUACUAAGACUGACUCCUUUAUAGUAUUGAGUCCCACUCCCCCCAUGCAUGUGUCCCCAUGCAUGCCUCUCUGCCAUGCUCACCAGAUUACAGGAAACAGCAAGCCUAUCUACUAUACUCCUACUGCUAUACUCAAGUCAAGUCUCUAUAUCACUGGAAGGAUUUCAAUACAAACAACCUUAAGGACGAGGACAGUGGACGGACAGCGACUGAUACUGGCACUCCUCACCUGGGUUGUACUGCAAGGGUGGAGUUAUAUCCAGCAUUAUAAUAAUAGGCAUCAUUAUUAUUACUGUAUGAGCAUUACAUUACAUGCUGUGUCCUAACCUCCGCCCUAACAAUGUUAUUAUCACAAUACAUGUUCUGGGAGACCACUGGCGGAAUUUGGAGAAUACUAGAGGAAACAACACUAUACAGAGUAUCUACUGCUACUAUACUGAAUUAAGUCAAGUCUGUAUGGAGCAUCUCUUCACCGGCAAUGACUGGCAUUGGUGGAAUACAAUGUCCUCCUCCUUAAGAAAAACUACUACACUCAACUACAUCUCAUCAGUCAUAAUUCAAUCAUCAACUCAUUUUAUUUAUUGGGGGCCCCCUCAUAUUUUCAGUUCUUUUUUCGUUUUAGUUGUUAUAAAUCAUGAAAGAAGAAGAAAAAUGAUCAGGAGGAGGAGUGGUCAGGCCACACCUACAAUGUACAUGUGACCACGCCUCUAAUGCAAGGCCACACCCACCUUUCCACACCUUCAUACAGUACGUAUAACUAUACUCGAUUUCUAACCACCUGGAUUUAACAUAACCUUCAAACCAACUGGAAACUAACAGAACCUUCUAAUCAACUGGACUGGGAUAGCCUCAAUAGAUAUCCCAGAUGGUCCCAUGGGCGGAUGGGCUGGGGGCCAGCGAUGCAGUGCCACAUAUUCGCGACGGUGCUGGCUGUCACACUACAUGGAGGGAGGACUAUCUCUCUAUAGUGUGCAAGAGCACUGCAAACUGAACACACUUUUGUAAUUUCAAUUUCUCAAUGAUAUGCUAUAAUUAAUGUGGUUUUAAAAAU
This is a long non-coding RNA of Halichondria panicea, 1713 nucleotides long. RefSeq lists it as uncharacterized. The transcript is spliced from 8 exons. The record is from RefSeq and is a predicted model, not a curated record. Lineage: Eukaryota; Metazoa; Porifera; Demospongiae; Suberitida; Halichondriidae.